UACGGGAGGCAGCAGUGGGGAAUAUUGCACAAUGGGCGCAAGCCUGAUGCAGCCAUGCCGCGUGUAUGAAGAAGGCCUUCGGGUUGUAAAGUACUUUCAGUCGUGAGGAAGGUGUUAAGGUUAAUAACCUUAGCAAUUGACGUUAGCGACAGAAGAAGCAUCGGCUAACUCCGUGCCAGCAGCCGCGGUAAUACGGAGGGUGCGAGCGUUAAUCGGAAUUACUGGGCGUAAAGGGCACGCAGGCGGUUAAUUAAGUUGGAUGUGAAAUCCCCGGGCUUAACCUGGGAAUGGCAUUCAAGACUGGUUAGCUAGAGUCUUGUAGAGGGGGUAGAAUUCCAUGUGUAGCGGUGAAAUGCGUAGAGAUGUGGAGGAAUACCGGUGGCGAAGGCGGCCCCUGGGACAAGACUGACGCUCAUGUGCGAAAGCGUGGGGAGCAAACGAGGAUUAGAUACC
Molecule: ribosomal RNA, 453 nt
Filed under: uncultured bacterium
Lineage: Bacteria
Description: bacterial SSU rRNA
Rfam family: Bacterial small subunit ribosomal RNA
Source: RNAcentral